Molecule: ribosomal RNA, 407 nt
Filed under: uncultured bacterium
Lineage: Bacteria
Description: partial 16S ribosomal RNA
Rfam family: Bacterial small subunit ribosomal RNA
Source: RNAcentral
AUUGAACGCUGGCGGCAGGCCUAACACAUGCAAGUCGAGCGGGGCAGCGGCCGGGUGCGUAAUGCCUAGGCCUCUGCAUGGUCCUGAGGGAUAACGUCAGGAAACGGGCGCUACUACCGCAUCCUUUCAGCUGAGCCUAGGUCGGAUUGGCUAGUUGGUGGGGUAAAGGCCUACCAAGUCGACGGUCCGUAACUGGUCUGAGAGGAUGAGCAGUCACACUGGAACUGAGACACGGUCCAGACUCCUACGGGAGGCAGCAGUGGGGAAUAUUGGACAAUGGGCGAAAGCCUGAUCCAGCCAUGCCGCGUGUGUGAAGAAGGUCUUCGGAUUGUAAAGUACUUUAAGCUGGGAGGCGUUACCAACAGAAUAAGCACCGGCUAACUCCGUGCCAGCAGCCGCGGUAAUAC